AUUUGAUGACUCGUGUACAAGCUGCAGUUCAAAAGUUUUUCAAGUUCGAAUUCGAAUUUGUGAGCAAAAUCAAUUUGAAGUCGGGCAAAAUUUGAAACUGCUUUGAACUGAAAUGUUGAGGAGAGUGUAAUGGCCCACCUGCACAGGGAUGCUCUGCCACACGACCGGCGAUCUCCGGCCAACGGCCGUGCUAGCCCAACCGGCGAGCAGCAAGCCCGGGAUCUUGCUUGCCCUCGUCCGUGCUCCUCCUCCUUUAAGCCCUGAUGCCUCCCUGCCCUCUCCCUCAUUCCUUC
Molecule: long non-coding RNA, 293 nt
Filed under: Setaria viridis
Lineage: Eukaryota; Viridiplantae; Streptophyta; Magnoliopsida; Poales; Poaceae
Description: long non-coding RNA (SVIR_LNC005366)
Source: RNAcentral